CCGGCACGGGUGAGUAACACGUAUCCAACCUGCCGUCUACUCUUGGACAGCCUUCUGAAAGGAAGAUUAAUACAAGAUGGCAUCAUGAGUCCGCAUGUUCACAUGAUUAAAGGUAUUCCGGUAGACGAUGGGGAUGCGUUCCAUUAGAUAGUAGGCGGGGUAACGGCCCACCUAGUCUUCAUGGAUAGGGGUUCUGAGAGGAAGGUCCCCCACAUUGGAACUGAGACACGGUCCAA
This 236-nucleotide ribosomal RNA is filed under the name uncultured bacterium. RNAcentral describes it as "partial 16S ribosomal RNA". It matches the Rfam family "Bacterial small subunit ribosomal RNA", at positions 100 to 334 of the family's 1533-position model. The record is from RNAcentral.